UGAGGAAUAUUGGUCAAUGGGCGCGAGCCUGAACCAGCCAAGUAGCGUGAAGGAUGAAGGUCCUACGGAUUGUAAACUUCUUUUAUAAGGGAAUAAAGUCACCCACGUGUGGGUGUUUGUAUGUACCUUAUGAAUAAGCAUCGGCUAACUCCGUGCCAGCAGCCGCGGUAAUACGGAGGAUGCGAGCGUUAUCCGGAUUUAUUGGGUUUAAAGGGAGCGUAGACGGGCCGUUAAGUCAGCUGUGAAAGUUUGAGGCUCAACCUUAAAAUUGCAGUUGAAACUGGCAGUCUUGAGUACAGUAGAGGUGGGCGGAAUUCGUGGUGUAGCGGUGAAAUGCUUAGAUAUCACGAAGAACUCCGAUUGCGAAGGCAGCUCACUAGACUGCAACUGACACUGAUGCUCGAAAGUGUGGGUAUCAAACAGGAUUAGAUACCCUGGUAGUCCACACAGUAAACGAUGAAUACUCGCUGUUUGCGAUAUACAGUAAGCGGCCAAGCGAAAGCAUUAAGUAUUCCACCUGGGGAGUACGCCGGCAACGGUGAAACUCAAAGGAAUUGACGGGGGCCCGCACAAGCGGAGGAACAUGUGGUUUAAUUCGAUGAUACGCGAGGAACCUUACCCGGGCUUAAAUUGCAUUUGAAUAAUCUGGAAACAGGUUAGCCGCAAGGCAAAUGUGAAGGUGCUGCAUGGUUGUCGUCAGCUCGUGCCGUGAGGUGUCGGCUUAAGUGCCAUAACGAGCGCAACCCUUAUCUUUAGUUACUAACAGGUCAUGCUGAGGACUCUAGAGAGACUGCCGUCGUAAGAUGUGAGGAAGGUGGGGAUGACGUCAAAUCAGCACGGCCCUUACGUCCGGGGCUACACACGUGUUACAAUGGGGGGUACAGAAGGCAGCUACCUGGCGACAGGAUGCUAAUCCCAAAAACCUCUCUCAGUUCGGAUCGAAGUCUGCAACCCGACUUCGUGAAGCUGGAUUCGCUAGUAAUCGCGCAUCAGCCAUGGCGCGGUGAAUACGUUCCC
This 1017-nucleotide ribosomal RNA is filed under the name uncultured bacterium. Its description in RNAcentral is "bacterial SSU rRNA". It matches the Rfam family "Bacterial small subunit ribosomal RNA", at positions 355 to 1375 of the family's 1533-position model. The record is from RNAcentral.